UUUUUGACAUUUUUCAAAAGGGAUGUGCCAAUUUCUGAACUCCUAUCACAGCUAUAAAUUUCAAGUUAUUGACCAUCUGCAUGAAUAGCUAAUGAUGAUUUACCUAGAGUCACACUACAGUCACUUCUCUACUGAGAAAACACAAUCUACAAUAUAGUCCCAUAUAGCUAAUGAUAGAUACACAGGUUGUUUUUUCUUUCCUAGCACGAGGCCGAUGGAGCAUCAGCCCACUGUUAUUUUGUUUAAAGCACACAACGUAGCAAUAGUUUUGGAAACUUGUCCGCACCAAAAAAGUUUUUGCAACAACACAGAGCGAGUUAAUAACAACAUCUGAGAGAUGAUUGAAUCAAAGCUAUAUUUACAGCGUUUAAAAAUUAGACUUAUCUAUAAUCUUGAAAUAUUCAAAGUUUUAUUUCUAAGCUAUACAUUGGUAUUCUAUAAUAAACUGUUACAGAAAUUAUCCCUUGUUUUGAAAAUAUUAUGAUUUCAGUGUGUAUCUGUUCAUAACGAGUAUUUGUUUGGAGUUUCGAACUCUUAAUUAUUACUAGGAAGAACCUUAUUACCGGUAAGGAAUAGAAUAUACUACUGUAAUCUCCUGAGGAAUUGUACAUCCAAUAUUGUCUCUAAUUCUACCCUGUGUCUAUAAGCACACACCACAAGAAUCCAAACACCACAAGAAGAACAAGACAACAGUCUUUGAAUGCAACAUAAAAAUUCAGAAAAGCACAGCAAACAUGAAACAUUGAAAAGCUGAACUACAUUUCUUUUGUUUGUUAGGAUUACAAUUUUAAUUACAUCUGUGUACAUAGAAUAAGGAUGUUCACAUAGUACAGGGAGCAGCUACUAACACUGGUACAUUGGUAUAGCAUUUGAUGGAGGUUAUUGUUUAUUGGUUAUUUAGCGACUGUAGUUUUCUGGGGGCAUCUAAUCGGUUUAUACAUUAGAUUACACCUCGUAACAGUCUUGAAACUGACUGACUUUCAUGCUGUGACAAUACUGGUUGAAAAGCACAUAUACUGGUUUAGCUACUUGUUAAAGAUUGCCAUUUACAAAGUAAAAUCUAAAUCAAUAAAUAAGGUAUAGAAGUGUUAAAUUCUUCAAUUUGGUCAGAAGUCUACUACUCUGAUUUCUUAAUUUUGCAAACGUCGGCAUUUGCCUUAUCGCCUCUAAGCUACUAUUGGUUCAUAGGGUUUUUUUCUGCAUGUGAGGUUAUAAUUUUGCAAACAGGCAGUAUCUCGUUCAUUUGCAACUGAAGCAGUUAGAAAUCACGUAGCAACUAUACCUCUGUACAGUCGCUGUCUCCUAACACCGUUACAGAUUGGUAUUUGACACGGAGUUAUUUCUAUGUUAGACUACUCGGAUAUACUGUAGGUGUAAUCUAAUCCUUUGAGAGUCAGUGAACAUUUAGUUAUAAACUGGAGCUCAUGUUAAGAAACUGGAUGUUUUGGACCAGACUGGCACACAACAUAAAUUGCAUCCGUGAUAAUAUGCACCUUCCCUUCGACUAUUGCUUUAGUAAGAUAAAUUCCC
This 1530-nucleotide long non-coding RNA is filed under the name Strigops habroptila (Kakapo). RNAcentral's name for it is "lncRNA (ENSSHBG00005020683.1)". Lineage: Eukaryota; Metazoa; Chordata; Aves; Psittaciformes; Psittacidae. The record is from RNAcentral.